This 322-nucleotide ribosomal RNA is filed under the name uncultured bacterium. RNAcentral describes it as "partial 16S ribosomal RNA". It matches the Rfam family "Bacterial small subunit ribosomal RNA", at positions 109 to 399 of the family's 1533-position model. The record is from RNAcentral.
AAAAAAAAACGUGAGUAACCUGCCCUUGACUUUGGGAUAACUUCAGGAAACUGGGGCUAAUACCGGAUAGGAGCUCCUGCUGCAUGGUGGGGGUUGGAAAGUUUCGGCGGUUGGGGAUGGACUCGCGGCUUAUCAGCUUGUUGGUGGGGUAGUGGCUUACCAAGGCUUUGACGGGUAGCCGGCCUGAGAGGGUGACCGGCCACAGUGGGACUGAGAUACGGCCCAGACGCCUACGGGAGGCAGCAGUGGGGAAUAUUGCACAAUGGGGGGAAGCCUGAUGCAGCAACGUCGUUUUUUUUUUAAUGACACGCCGGCCACAGAC